GUGAACGCUGGCGGUAGGCCUGACCCAUGCAAGUCGAACGGCAGCACCGGAGAGCUUGCUCUCUAGGUGGCGAGUGGCGGACGGGUGAGGAAUACAUCGGAAUCUGCCCAGUCGUGGGGGAUAACGUAGGGAAACUUACGCUAAUACCGCAUACGACCUUCGGGUGAAAGAGGGGGAUCGCAAGACCUCUCGCGAUUGGAUGAGCCGAUGUCGGAUUAGCUAGUUAGCGGGGUAAUGGCCCACCAAGGCGACGAUCCGUAGCUGGUCUGAGAGGAUGAUCAGCCACACUGGAACUGAGACACGGUCCAGACUCCUACGGGAGGCAGCAGUGGGGAAUAUUGGACAAUGGGCGCAAGCCUGAUCCAGCCAUACCGCGUGGGUGAAGAAGGCCUUCGGGUUGUAAAGCCCUUUUGUUGGGAAAGAAAUCUUUCAGGCUAAUACCCUGGGAGGAUGACGGUACCCAAAGAAUAAGCACCGGCUAACUUCGUG
RNAcentral lists this ribosomal RNA (489 nucleotides) under uncultured bacterium. RNAcentral's name for it is "partial 16S ribosomal RNA". It matches the Rfam family "Bacterial small subunit ribosomal RNA", at positions 29 to 507 of the family's 1533-position model. The record is from RNAcentral.